Molecule: ribosomal RNA, 487 nt
Filed under: uncultured archaeon
Lineage: Archaea
Description: bacterial SSU rRNA
Rfam family: Archaeal small subunit ribosomal RNA
Source: RNAcentral
ACCGGGCUCUGAAAAGUAGGGGCCCGGAGAUGGGUACUGAGACACGGACCCAGGCCCUAUGGGCGCAGCAGGCGAGAAACCUUUGCAAUGUGCGAAAGCACGACAAGGUUAAUCCGAGUGUCUCCUGCUAAAGGAGUCUUUUGUCAGUUGUAGAAUCAUUGGUGAAUAAGGGGUGGGCAAGUUCUGGUGUCAGCCGCCGCGGUAAAACCAGCACCUCGAGUGGUCAGGAGGUUUAUUGGGCCUAAAGCAUCCGUAGCCGGUUGCAUAAGUUUUCGGUUAAAUCUAUGCGCUUAACGUAUAGGCCGCCGAAAAUACUGUGCAGCUAGGGAGUNGGGAGAGGUACACGGUACUCGAUAGGAAGGGGUAAAAUCCUUUGAUCUAUUGAUGACCACCUGUGGCGAAGGCGGUGUACCAGAACACGUUCGACGGUGAGNNGGAUGAAAGCUGGGGGAGCCAAAANNCCCCGGGAAUUAGAUACCCGGUAGCC